This 806-nucleotide ribosomal RNA is filed under the name uncultured bacterium. Its description in RNAcentral is "bacterial SSU rRNA". It matches the Rfam family "Bacterial small subunit ribosomal RNA", at positions 105 to 897 of the family's 1533-position model. The record is from RNAcentral.
GGUGAGUAACAUAUCGGAACGUAUCCAAUAAUGGGGGAUAACUAAUCGAAAGGUUGGCUAAUACCGCAUACGCCCUACGGGGGAAAGCUAGGGACCUUCGGGCCUGGCGUUAAUGGAGCGGCCGAUAUCUGAUUAGCUAGUUGGUGGGGUAAAGGCCCACCAAGGCGACGAUCAGUAGCUGGUCUGAGAGGACGACCAGCCACACUGGAACUGAGACACGGUCCAGACUCCUACGGGAGGCAGCAGUGGGGAAUUUUGGACAAUGGGCGCAAGCCUGAUCCAGCCAUUCCGCGUGAGUGAAGAAGGCCUUCGGGUUGUAAAGCUCUUUCGCAAGGCAAGAAAACUUACCCUCUAACAUAGGGUGAGGUUGACGGCCCUUGAUAAGAAGCACCGGCUAACUACGUGCCAGCAGCGCGCGGUAAUACGUAGGGAGCGAGCGUUAAUCGGAAUUACUGGCCGUAAAGCGUGUACAGGCGGCUUUGUAAGUCAGAUGUGAAAUCCCCGAGCUCAACUUGGGAACUGCGUUUGAGACUACAAGACUCGAAUAUGUCAGAGGGGGCGUAGAAUUCCACGUGUAGCAUUGAAAUGCGUAGAGAUGAAGUCGCAAUAUCCAAUGGUCGAAGGCAGCCUCUGGACAUAAUAUUAGACGCUCAUGCACGAAAGCGUGGUGAGCAAACAGGAUUAGAUACCCUGCUAGUCCACGCUCUUAAACGAUGUAUACUAGUUGUUGAUGUCGUAAAAUCCAUUUAGCGCCGCAGCCUCACGCGUCGAGGAGACCGCCUGGAGAGUACAGUCCGCAAGUAUCA